CUCACAGACCUGACUACAUAGCACUAUCUUCAGUUAUUUGUCAAACACAAUAUAUUUAUCAUGCUAUGUUGCAUUCAGAAAGUAUAAACUACUACAGUAGUACAGUCUGGACCGCACGUGGAUCCACACAUACAUAGAAAAAUUGCAUCUUAACAAUUCACACACAAUCUUUAAUAAUUCAGUACACCAUAAGAGAAAAUGCUCUAAUCAUACAUCAGACAUCAGAACCAUGAAACUACUUAUUCAAUCACACCACUAAUUUUCCCAUUAACUGUCUUUCAGUCUUCCUACUAAUGCCGAAUCGCUUAUCCCAAAAGCACAGGUUGUAAAAGUCAUAGGCUUCUCCCGAAGUAUCAAAACUCGUCCCCAAUGUCAGUACUAUGACAUUGUCCCCUGGAUUUUCCGAGAAACCUCGAAUUAUCUUCGGCAGCACCUGUCCUCACCCUGCAGUCAAUGUCACACGUGUAAAUAAUUGUAGUUCUCCAAAAAUAUUUAAAACUGUUACACACUAUGACAUUGUCCCCUGGAUUUUCCGAGAAACCUCGAAUUAUCUUCGGCGGCACCUGUCCUCACCCUGCAGUCAAUGUCACACGUGUAAAUAAUUGUAGUUCUCCAAAAUAUUUAAAACUGCUACACUCAAGUAGCACAUAAUGCGCCUAUUCGAGCAUGAUCAAGCUGUGUUGUUCGAUUCUAACAUCGGAACUGGCCGCCUUAUGGCAGCAUUGCACCAAACUUGUUUUCCCUCUGAGCUAUGUCUCUGUUUUGCUUCCUGUUCUAGCAUUUUUCACCUUUCCAAUCCUAAUGUGCCUAUUCGAGCAUGAUCAAGCUGUGCUGUUAGAUUCUAAUGUUUACUUAUGCUCCAGGGGUGUAUCCUCAUUUUUAUGAAUCUAGCAAUCAAAUUAAAAUCACACCCCGUUAAAACAAUCAUGGUUCAAUCCUAACACAGAACAGAGGACUGAAUAUACUUGAGCUGCAGCAUUCAGGAAUGCAUAGACUCUGAAUCUAUACUACAUGCGCUGACCAUUUAUUCAGCAGAUCACAUAUUCACAUACAUUACCAAAACCUAGCAGCCGUCCAUAGUCUUACUGCAAAGCCGUCAGUUCUGCAAAUUUCACACCCUCAAGACGUUUUCUACAUGUACAUCUGAAUCUCUUGGUCAUGUGUGCCAUCCGCCGCAACGCUAUAUUGCUAGUGUCACCAUAC
RNAcentral lists this long non-coding RNA (1203 nucleotides) under Triticum aestivum (bread wheat). Its description in RNAcentral is "long non-coding RNA (TAES_LNC018105)". The record is from RNAcentral. Lineage: Eukaryota; Viridiplantae; Streptophyta; Magnoliopsida; Poales; Poaceae.